UAGCUUACCUACGUAAUUGGCAACAAAUUUACUAAUGUAAAUGUACUUAUAGGAGUGUUUACAUCAAUUUUAUCGUAAGUUAGUCAUGUAAGCUACUUUCGUGAGUAAAACUUACAGUAUUCAUGGUCGUACG
Molecule: long non-coding RNA, 133 nt
Organism: Maniola jurtina (meadow brown)
Lineage: Eukaryota; Metazoa; Arthropoda; Insecta; Lepidoptera; Nymphalidae
Exons: 3
Source: RefSeq, a predicted model, not a curated record